Molecule: long non-coding RNA, 551 nt
Organism: Columba livia (rock pigeon)
Lineage: Eukaryota; Metazoa; Chordata; Aves; Columbiformes; Columbidae
Exons: 5
Source: RefSeq, a predicted model, not a curated record
AGGAAAAUACUUAUGACCAGACAGUAAAGAUGGUAGCCUAACAUCAGAGAGGUAAAUUUACUAAAAGAAGAGAAAAGAGACACAUCACUCACAAAUUACUGAAAUCGUCAAUUCUUGUGUUCUGGGUUCAGACUCUACUAAGUGGACACUUCAAGGUUCCCUACUCUAGGAAAUUUCUAGAUUCGUCUUCAAGUCAAAUGUUCUCCUAAGAUAUGGAGGAACACUUCUGUAUCCUAGUUGAGACAAUGAGAAGUCAAACGGAAAUAAAUUCUUGAAAGGAAUAAGGCUUAUCAAAGACACCGUAUGUAAGUAAUUAUGAGAAGCUAUCACACAGAUGGUGGAUAAUAACAAGUAGCUGGGGAGGAUAAUUUCUUCCUUUUGACAAGUAAAGAGAAACGGCAUUUGACUUCUCUUCAGAAAUGAUUAAGACUCAAUGCUUGACAGAAAUAUAGUCUGCUUCCAUUUUCCUAAGAAAAGGAGAUCUAAUGUUGAUAAUCAACUUGUCUUUCAGAGAGCAGUUCAUUGCCCAUCCUCACUUUAACUUUUUUUUG